GGCCACAUCUGCCAGAGCCUGGAGUCUGCGAAGGCCGGGACCCGGUUCCCCGGCCCACCGUGGGGGGGGGUGUGCAAACCCGAGAGAACUGGUCGCUGAAACCUCUACAACUUAGUUGACCGUAACUGCCAGAGCCCUGCCCUGAAUUCCUGUCCUUACUCCCUCUUUAAGAUUGCGUACCCACUGCAGAGUGCUGAAGACGGGGUAGCCACGAGGUUGCAAAUUCGUGAAGAAUCAGCAUCAUGUUUGGCAGCUGAGUAUUGGAGCCAGGAGCCUGCCAUGAGGUUUUGAGAACAGAGUGCUGUUUUAGAGCUGGCAGCAGCAUCUCAGCCCAAGAGAAGGUAAGCCUUGAGCUGGCCAAUGAUCCCCCCAACCCCAUAGUGGAAUGAAUAAACAGCUGAUCUUGUUAAAACUCGCUUCAAAAAAAAAAGAUAUCAAAUGAUGAAAUCACCCAAAAUAGCUGGAAUUACCGGCAGAUUGUGUAGUGGUGAACCUACGGUUUUCUGAAGAUAUCUCUUACCCUGUGAUUGACUGUCAGUUGGUGCAGAAAGUGAGAUUGAAAUGUAGUUUCUUUGCAGGUUAUAUUCCCAGAGGAUGUCAGUCCCAAGGACCAGUAGCUGCCAUCAGUUUGGAUUCUGAAAACUAACCGGCAUCAACACUGGGUGUAGAAACAUGCUUGCCUUAUGUAUCAGAGGACAUGCUCAGCAGAUCCAAGAGAUAUAUUUGGCAACUUUUUCUAGAAAAGGCACAUUGGGUAUCAUUCAUUACAUUCUUGAG
Molecule: non-coding RNA, 777 nt
Filed under: Pan troglodytes (chimpanzee)
Lineage: Eukaryota; Metazoa; Chordata; Mammalia; Primates; Hominidae
Source: RNAcentral